This 439-nucleotide long non-coding RNA is filed under the name Suricata suricatta (meerkat). RNAcentral's name for it is "lncRNA (ENSSSUG00005003114.1)". The record is from RNAcentral. Lineage: Eukaryota; Metazoa; Chordata; Mammalia; Carnivora; Herpestidae.
AUGUCCCUUUUUUCUUCCUCUUCCCACUUUCCCCUCCUUUUUAUUAAAAAAAAAAAAAAAGAAUGGAAUCCAGCUUUCUCCAGAAGUUUGCUCUUCAGCCUCUUCUCUCCCACGCGGUGGAAGAAGGACCCCAUUGCAAGGAGUGCUUCCAGGCAGGACCUCAAUGGUCUGAUGGUCGCCCCCAAUCCUCGGCGCGCUCGGUCCCCCACGCCCCCAGCUUCGGUCCCUCCAUUUGAUCUCAGGGUCAAAAAGUGGAACAUUGAGGCAAAUUGACAAAUAAUUAAGACAUGGUACUUAAGAUAUCCUUCUGAACCGCUUGUGCCCACCCACUCUGUACACUGCAUUCUGAUCGACUUCCACUCUUCCUGGAUGAUUGGGUUAGUACUUGUUUUUCCUUGCAUGGCUUAUUUUGCCUUUUGAACCUAACACUUCAGCUCAU